This 367-nucleotide unclassified non-coding RNA is filed under the name fungal sp. RNAcentral's name for it is "partial internal transcribed spacer region". The stretch from base 1 to 46 matches the Rfam family "Eukaryotic small subunit ribosomal RNA", at positions 1786 to 1831 of the family's 1831-position model. Lineage: Eukaryota; Fungi. The record is from RNAcentral.
AAGUCGUAACAAGGUUUCCGUAGGUGAACCUGCGGACGGAUCACUAACACGUAUCCAAACGUAAAAAACCCCCCCCGUGAACAUUCAAUCCUGCUUUCAGAGACCUCUGGCUACGUGAGAACAUUGGAACAGUUACAAUCGAGCGGUAGUUUCAUAGGCAUUGUUUCCCCAAGCAGUUAGUGUCUGAAAGUGUCACUGAUUGUGCAAGGAUAGCGCUUCAACGAUUCCUGUAGACCGUACACUCGGGCAGGAGCUAUGCCAAAGGGUCCCCAUGCCCCCUUAUAACCCCACAGUUUAAUGUGAAGCUCAAUGUAAUACAUUGGGUAAAAAAACCGAACAACUGUUAACAAUGGAUAUCUUGGUUCUC